Tarenaya hassleriana is the source of this 1023-nucleotide RNA transcript. RefSeq lists it as uncharacterized. NCBI's taxonomy places the organism in Eukaryota, Viridiplantae, Streptophyta, Magnoliopsida, Brassicales, Cleomaceae. The record is from RefSeq and is a predicted model, not a curated record. The transcript is spliced from 5 exons.
UCGUAUAAGUUAUGCUUCUCCAUCAAUCGCGCAGAAGCUCGCCGCCAAGACCCGCCGAGAUCCGCCGGGUUUAGAGUUUUCCCGGACAAUUCUUCACCAAUUCCGACCGUCUCUCUCUCUGUGAAUCCCUCUUCCACUGGUAAAGACAAUCCCGAUUGCUAAUCGUUAUGUCAAAGCGGAAUCAGUUGUUCAUGCUGUUGAGGAGAAGUUCACAUUCGCUGUCUAACGAUGCGCCAACAGAGACUUUAAGAGAAAGGGUAGCUGCUGUAAGAAAGGGGAAGACGAGGAAGAAUCCUAAGAAGAACGAGUUUCUAGUUGAUGUUCCAGAAUCUAGAUCGUUCCUGGACACAGCAACCCUGCCUAUGUAUCUUGCUGUGGCUGGUAUCGCACUCUUUGCCAAGAUCUUGAUGAUGAUUGAUGAGUCAAAAUCCCAAGAAACGAUUGAACGCAAAAUAAAAGACGCCCCACCUGGUCAAGGAACGGUGAGGAUGCUAACCCGAGAGGAGUGGGAAGAGUUUCGGGAAGUAAGGCCGAGGACCCCCUUUGAGUCCAAGCUUGCUCGUCCAAACGCACGUAUAAGAACGGGAGAGCCUGUCCAAAAGGAGGACUUGAAGAAUUGGACGAUAGAUGUGAUAACCGAUGCUCUUGCCCGCACGGAAGAAAGCGUCCGUCGAGGUUCCAAUUGAUUCUCAUGAGCAGACCGGGAAUUUCCUCGGGUUCUUGGCCUCCUCUAGUUAAGUAUUUCCAGAACUCGAGACAUGUUGCAGAAUACGGACUAAAGUACAUCCAAUUCAACACAGUUAACGCGUAAAGCUCAUGAAGGGUAUUAUGAAGUUGCAACCAGCUGUUGUCUCCAUGGAAAAAGGAGCAUCAAUGGAGGUGGUCGAUUAAGAUAUAAACUUAGGAUUUAAAUCAUAUUCUAAUGUCUCUAUUUCAAUAAUGAUGAUGUCUAUCUAGGGUCAUGGAUGAUGAAAAUAUCUCUCUUUAGCAAAAGUUACCAAACCCGGAGAGGGAUUUAUUUCU